This 253-nucleotide ribosomal RNA is filed under the name Nitrososphaera sp. RNAcentral describes it as "partial 16S ribosomal RNA". It matches the Rfam family "Archaeal small subunit ribosomal RNA", at positions 474 to 727 of the family's 1478-position model. RNAcentral also lists the same sequence under 1 other name. The record is from RNAcentral. Lineage: Archaea; Thermoproteati; Nitrososphaerota; Nitrososphaeria; Nitrososphaerales; Nitrososphaeraceae.
UACCAGCACCCCGAGUGGUCGGGACGAUUAUUGGGCCUAAAGCAUCCGUAGCCGGUUCUACAAGUCUUCCGUUAAAUCCAGCUGCUUAACAGUUGGGCUGCGGAGGAUACUAUAGAGCUAGGAGGCGGGAGAGGCAAGCGGUACUUAGUGGGUAGGGGUAAAAUCCGUUGAUCCACUGAAGACCACCAGUGGCGAAGGCGGCUUGCCAGAACGCGCUCGACGGUGAGGGAUGAAAGCUGGGGGAGCAAACCGG